UACGUUCGACGGGAUUCAGAGGUGGUACUGCUCUUCUUCUAUGCCCCUUGGUGUGGACAGUCCAUCGCUGCCAGGGCAGAAAUUGAGCAAGCAGCAAGUCGGCUUUCAGAUCAGGUGUUGUUUGUGGCAAUUAACUGUUGGUGGAACCAGGGGAAAUGCAGAAAACAGAAACACUUCUUUUAUUUUCCUGUAAUAUAUCUGUAUCAUCGGAGUUUUGGACCAAUCGAAUACAAAGGCCCCAUGAGUGCUGUUUACAUUGAGAAGUUUGUCCGCCGGGUGAUGAAACCACUUCUCUACAUCCCAUCUCAAUCAGAAUUACUAGAUUUUCUCUCAAACUACGAGAGGCCUGGCGAGGUGCUUCAUGCCUGCAACCCCAGCACUUGGGAGGCCAAGGUGGAGGAUUGCUGGAAGCCAGGAAUUCAAGACCAGCCUGGGCAACAAAAUUAGACCCUGUGUCUAUAACAAAAUGUUAAAAAUUAGCCAAGCAUGGUGGCACAUGCCUGUAGUCCCAGCUCUACUUGGGAGGCUGAGGCUGAAGGAUUGCUUGAGUCCAGGAGUUUGGCGUUACAGUGAGCUAUGAUGGCACCACUGCACUCCAUCCUGGGCAACAGAGUGAGACUCCAUCUCAAAACAAAACAAAGACAAGACUCUGAGACCAGAAACAAUUUCUAGGACAACAGUUUUGCCUUUAAGUUACUUAAACAUCACAGAAAGCCAUUAAAGGCCUGGAGUACUCGGGUACUUUGAGUUCAGUGGCUCACCCCAGCCUCCUGGUUAUUUGACCUUCUUCACCUCAGCAUUACAUUCAUUAAAGAAAGCUCACAUACAGAAAGAAUCACAGCUGCCAGGCGCGGUGGCUCACGCCUGUAAUCCCAGCACUUUGGGAGGCCGAGGCGGGCGGAUCACGAGGUCAGGAGAUCGAGACCAUCCUGGCUAACAUGAUUACCUAGGAACAGUACGAUUUGGGGUUAUCACAAAUAAACAUCUUGCGAAACUGGUAUCCUUAGUACACUCUGGAAGUGUGUAUUUACAUAGACAUUUCAACACAUCACUUGUCUUCCCCAGGGAGGUCCUGAACUACACAGCUGAGAACAUCUGUAAGUGGGCCUUAGAAAACCAGGAGACGCUCUUUCGGUGGCUGCGGCCACACGGAGGCAAGAGUCUCCUGCUGAAUAACGAGCUGAAGAAAGGACCAGCGCUGUUUCUGUUCAUACCUUUUAAUCCCCUGGCCGAAAGUCAUCCUUUA
This 1246-nucleotide long non-coding RNA is filed under the name Homo sapiens (human). RNAcentral's name for it is "HSALNT0227754". The record is from RNAcentral. Lineage: Eukaryota; Metazoa; Chordata; Mammalia; Primates; Hominidae.